Molecule: ribosomal RNA, 529 nt
Filed under: uncultured bacterium
Lineage: Bacteria
Description: bacterial SSU rRNA
Rfam family: Bacterial small subunit ribosomal RNA
Source: RNAcentral
CCUAACACAUGCAAGUCGAACGGUAACAGGAAACAGCUUGCUGUUUCGCUGACGAGUGGCGGACGGGUGAGUAAUGUCUGGGAAACUGCCUGAUGGACGGGGAUAACUACUGGAAACGGUAACUAAUACCGCAUAACGUCGCAAGACCGCGGAGGGGGACCUUCGGGCCUCAUGCCAUCAGAUGUGCCCAGAUGGGAUUAGCUAGUAGGUGGGGUAACGGCUCACCUAGGCGACGAUCCCUAGCUGGUCUGAGAGGAUGACCAGCCACCCUGGAACUGAGACACCGUCCAGACUCCUACGGGAGGCAGCAGUGGGGAAUAUUGCACAAUGGGCGCAAGCCUGAUGCAGCCAUGCCGCGUGUAUGAAUAAGGCCUUCGGGUUGUAAAGUACUUUCAGCGGGGAGGAAGGGAGUAAAGUUAAUACCUUUGCUCAUUGACGUUACCCGCAGAAGAAGCACCGGCUAACUCCGUGCCAGCAGCCGCGGUAAUACGGAGGGUGCAAGCGUUAAUCGGAAUUACUGGGCGUAAAG